CAGUCGCCGCGGGAAUACGUAGGGUGCAAGCGUUAAUCGGAAUUACUGGGCGUAAAGCGUGCGCAGGCGGUUAUGCAAGACAGAUGUGAAAUCCCCGGGCUCAACCUGGGAACUGCAUUUGUGACUGCAUGACUAGAGUACGGCAGAGGGGGAUGGAAUUCCGCGUGUAGCAGCGAAAUGCGUAGAUAUGCGGAGGAACACCGAUGGCGAAGGCAAUCCCCUGGGCCUGUACUGACGCUCAUGCACGAAAGCGUGGGGAGCAAACAGGAUUAGAUACCCCAGUAGUCCCUGUCUCUUAUAC
This 301-nucleotide ribosomal RNA is filed under the name uncultured bacterium. Its description in RNAcentral is "partial 16S ribosomal RNA". It matches the Rfam family "Bacterial small subunit ribosomal RNA", at positions 509 to 807 of the family's 1533-position model. The record is from RNAcentral.